UGCCAGCAGCCGCGGUAACACGUAGGGAGCAAGCGUUGUCCGGAUUUAUUGGGCGUAAAGAGCUCGUAGGCUGCUCAGUAAGUCGGGUGUGAAAUUUCAGGGCUUAACCCUGAAACGCCACCCGAUACUGCUGUGGCUAGAGUACGGUAGAGGAGUGUGGAAUUCCUGGUGUAGCGGUGAAAUGCGCAGAUAUCAGGAGGAACACCAACGGCGAAGGCAGCACUCUGGGCCGAUACUGACGCUGAGGAGCGAAAGCAUGGGGAGCAAACAGGAUUAGAUA
Molecule: ribosomal RNA, 280 nt
Filed under: uncultured bacterium
Lineage: Bacteria
Description: partial 16S ribosomal RNA
Rfam family: Bacterial small subunit ribosomal RNA
Source: RNAcentral